GUCCGCCAGCUGUCUACAAAGCCUACCAUAAUAUCAGCCAAAAACAUCCCACCAGACCUACACAGAAGCAAUUUCACACAAAAACACAAAACAAACAGACGAUGAACUGAUCAAGGAUGUCAUCCUGCUUUACUCCAAGUCGUCGUCGUCGCCGUCAAUGUGAGCCGUCUGCUACCAUGGCGUGAACAAACGGCUCAAGAAGAAGCCCCGUCGUCGACCGCCCGGGCAACCCGAUCGCAGAGCACGCCUGCUCGCCGCCGGCCGAUCGAGCGUGGCACCCAUGGGCCACCCCUGGAUCGGUCCUCCCUCGCGUCCUUUCCGAAUCUCUUACCGGUCCAUGGACUGUUCACGCUGGCUGUACCGGCCAGGAAGAUAACACUUGCAGCAGCAGCAGCCUUUGUUGCUGGGCACGUACUCGCCGGAGGACGCCGGCCGGACCGCGAGAUCUUGGGUACAGACACGGGAGUUAAUAGGUGAGCUCAGCGGUAAAACCGACCGGACGUUGAUUCUUCUCCUGCCAUCUUGACCGGCGGCCUCUGCGGCCGAAAGGACGCGGCGGUUUCAUAUCGGCUCCGUAUACGACGACUGUGGAAACAGUCACCAGAUACCUGGCCUCCAUCCAUUCCGUGCAGUAAAAACGAAAUGACCCUAGUUAUUACCGACGCACUGAAUCUCUGAACCCUUCUCCUUAUGGAAACUAAAAUAAUUCAGAAUGUGUCACUCGUACAAUGUCUCACUGACUUGCAGGUGUAUUGGCAGUAAGAAAUCCAGUAAGGUACAUUUCAUGGUAUUUCCAAGUGCAUAGAAAUCCACGAGAAAUGAUAUUACAGGAACGGCGAAGAGAACCUCGGUGUUAACCACGUGCCCCCGAUUUCCAAUGAUCAUUUGCUCAGACGGCGCGCAGGAGUACUAGCACCACCAUUGUUCUUCUGCCUGAACUAGGCCAAUGGGUUUCAAGACAGAAUAAUUAACAGUUAGCAUCAUAAUCCUGGAACCAAGAGAUCACGACCGCGCCAAAAGCCGCGCACACGCCCAUCCUUUCCGCCCGGUUCAAGUCUAGUUUAAUCCGCUCCCACGGACGCAUGCCAUUCGCGAUUGGCAUGGCAGCUCCAAGAGACAAAAGUUGGCCUGCAACCCAAGCAGAUUUGUUAUGGGUCUCCGUUCCAGCAGGGUUCACGCUGAUCAUGACCAUCCAAGAAAAAACGACCUGAAAACAGUAGCAACACGCUGCCUCGGGCCGGCGAUGCAGAUUCUCGCUGCCCCAAUCAUGGCCAAGCUAUUAAUCUUUGUCUCUGCACACCUCUACAAGUAGCAGCACUAAUUCCUGGCACUGCACUGGUCCAACCUGGGAUUAGACCGGUUCCUA
RNAcentral lists this long non-coding RNA (1366 nucleotides) under Hordeum vulgare. RNAcentral's name for it is "long non-coding RNA (HVUL_LNC010950)". The record is from RNAcentral. Lineage: Eukaryota; Viridiplantae; Streptophyta; Magnoliopsida; Poales; Poaceae.